GAUGAACGCUGGCGGCGUGCCUAAUACAUGCAAGUCGAGCGAACGGACGAGAAGCUUGCUUCUCUGAUGUUAGCGGCGGACGGGUGAGUAACACGUGGAUAACCUACCUAUAAGACUGGGAUAACUUCGGGAGACCGGAUCUAACACCGGAUGAUAUUUUGAACCGCAUGGUUCAAAAGUGAAAGACGGUCUUGCUGUCACUUAUAGAUGGAUCCGCGCUGCAUUAGCUAGUUGGUAAGGUAACGGCUUACCAAGGCAACGAUGCAUAGCCGACCUGAGAGGGUGAUCGGCCACACUGGAACUGAGACACGGUCCAGACUCCUACGGGAGGCAGCAGUAGGGAAUCUUCCGCAAUGGGCGAAAGCCUGACGGAGCAACGCCGCGUGAGUGAUGAAGGUCUUCGGAUCGUAAAACUCUGUUAUUAGGGAAGAACAUAUGUGUAAGUAACUGUGCACAUCUUGACGGUACCUAAUCAGAAAGCCACGGCUAACUACGUG
Molecule: ribosomal RNA, 497 nt
Filed under: uncultured bacterium
Lineage: Bacteria
Description: partial 16S ribosomal RNA
Rfam family: Bacterial small subunit ribosomal RNA
Source: RNAcentral